This 497-nucleotide ribosomal RNA is filed under the name uncultured bacterium. Its description in RNAcentral is "partial 16S ribosomal RNA". It matches the Rfam family "Bacterial small subunit ribosomal RNA", at positions 28 to 507 of the family's 1533-position model. The record is from RNAcentral.
GAUGAACGCUGGCGGCGUGCCUAAUACAUGCAAGUCGAGCGAACAGACGAGGAGCUUGCUCCUCUGACGUUAGCGGCGGACGGGUGAGUAACACGUGGAUAACCUACCUAUAAGACUGGGAUAACUUCGGGAAACCGGAGCUAAUACCGGAUAAUAUAUUGAACCGCAUGGUUCAAUAGUGAAAGACGGUUUUGCUGUCACUUAUAGAUGGAUCCGCGCCGCAUUAGCUAGUUGGUAAGGUAACGGCUUACCAAGGCGACGAUGCGUAGCCGACCUGAGAGGGUGAUCGGCCACACUGGAACUGAGCCACGGUCCAGACUCCUACGGGAGGCAGCAGAAGGGAAUCUUCCGCAAUGGGCGAAAGCCUGACGGAGCAACGCCGCGUGAGUGAUGAAGGUCUUCGGAUCGUAAAACUCUGUUAUUAGGGAAGAACAAAUGUGUAAGUAACUAUGCACGUCUUGACGGUACCUAAUCAGAAAGCCACGGCUAACUACGUG